AGGUUAUGCAAACAAAUUUCAUAACUUGUAUGUCAACAUAUUGUUUGAUGAGCUACUGUGGGAAAUUGAACUUAGACUUGACUACUAUAUUGGAAGCCUGAAUGAUAUUCAACUGACUUUGUUCCAUACCAUUAAUGAAAUUUGUUUAAUUCAAGUGUGUUUGCUUUUGAUCAGUAUUGUCAAGAGCGAUUAAUGCUCUUGCCCUCUCUCAUCCUCACCAUCGUGAAUCAACCUCAAAGGUGAGUGGUAUUUUUCAAGAGAAACCACUAGUAAAAUUUGGUCUUUUAGUUCUGAAUACAUAUUUUUCUUUGUGGUUGCGUGGUGAUUGAGUUGUGGAGGAGCUAAAGAGAAUCCCUACUUCCAAUCUCGACAAGGCAGCCACUACAAAAAUGUGCUUCCUUCGGUAGUGAGGUCCUGUUCCUUCAGGUACUGUAUCUCUUCUCUCAUGCUUUCUUCUUUUCUUUGCUCAUCAGAUUCACUUAUGCUUACCGAGUUGUUGUUUUGAAAAUAUUUAAGUUCGUCUAUGAUUAUGUGAGCCAUUAUCUAAAGUAGUAAUGGAGGGCAGUAUUUACUCUGGAGAACAAUUCUUCAUCUUCCCUAUAUUUUGGUUUUGAGCAGGUAGAUUAUUUUGUGAGGUCCUCUUGGCUAGAUUGUUUUCAUAAUUACUCUGCAAUGUAUGCUAUAUUUUUAGCCGUAAUGCAAGAGGAAGCUUUUCUGAAUUUAUUAUGCCCAAUGCCGCACAUGAGAAGACAUCUUGCCUUAGCCUCCGUAUGUAUUUCUGAUUUUUAAUUCCUAGUGUUGUCACAACUCUUUGUGCCUCUUUGAAUUAUUUACCAUAGCUCCGGAUCUUCGCCUGUAAUAUAAUUUCUUAUGGGGGCUUUCCACCAGCUAUAAUAAUUUCUGUUGAAUCAUGGUAGUCUUGUGGUUAAUUAUCCUUCUUGUACAGCCGAAGGGGUAACCAUCUUUCAAGGUACUAGCCUGUGUAGAAAGAUCUAUCAUUAAUACCACUUGUUAGGAUCCGGCUAUCCAUAGGCACUUCAAGAAUUAGAUUUUUGACUCAAUUUUCUUCAGAAGGAAUUGCAGCGGAAUAAAUAAUCAACAUAAAAAUUUUCACGUGGAAAAAUCCCUAUUCAAGGGAGUCAAAAACCACGACAUAUCUUCUAUAGGAUUUACACAAAUCUUCAAUAUAAUCAGAGUGAUAACAGGUUUAUAACUUCCUUGUCACACCUAAAGCACAUGUUCCUUGAACAGUCCGUCUAUAAUCCUAGUAAUAGUUUUACCAACAAACACUUAUCACCAAUACUUGCAAAGGCAAAUAAGUGGAAACAAUCAGAACCUAAUAAUUACAAUAAAAGAAAUACAAGGAUAUAUCUUGAUAAAGCUCAGGUUAUUUGUCGAUAGACAGUUGGCUCUUUCUGAGAUCAAGGUAUUGACUGCUCUCACUAUGUCUCUCCUUGGAUGUUUGUAGUUCUAGUUGGAUUUGUGGUUGAGUUCUAAAGCUCCUUCUUGUAGUGUAUAUACAGUAGUGGUUGCCGCCUUCAGUUUUUGAAUCCUUGAAGGUUUUGCUUUCAUUAGUUGUAACCGAAAACCAAACUUUGUUUAACUUGGAUCUUUUUUUUUUUUUUUUCAUUUUUGUGUUUCGGCUUCCUUGUCCUACUUUAAUGGUAAUUUCAAUGUUAUUCUACUUAUGGUAUACUGUACAAUAUUACCAUAAAUGAAGUCCAACCCUUCGUUGAAUAGGAAUCAGUCAAUAUUCCGUCAUUUAUAAGUCGGCAUGAAAGCUUAAGUCUCCAGUUGCGUGAGGACCAGUUUCCUUGAGCAGUUCUUCUGAAUGUUGUGACUGCUUCACUAAGUCCUUUAGUGAUCUGAUUGGAUGUCUUGCUCUUCAAAAGAUUCCCUCCUUAUAUCUCUAGUUGAUUUCCUUGGGUACAUUGUUUGUCAAAUCAUAAAAACUUCAAUGUAAGCUCAUGAUCAUUGAGCCAGUAGCUACUCAACACUAUAUAAAAUAAUUUAGACUAAUAAGUCGACCAAAAAGUUAACUUUGAGCCUCCGAGGUCAAAAUUGGAAAUUUCUCCAAAAUCGGGUUACUCAUCCUGUUAUACCCCGUACAUUUAUACGUCGAACUAUUAGCAAGCAUAUCGACUCGAGUUAAAGACGGAAUCACUUUCGGACACAAAAUAGAAAUAUUUAAUUUUCAAUUUUAAUUAAAACAUAAAUUGUUUAUAAAUUUUAUUUAGUGAAAAAAAAUAUUGGAGAUUGGGGAUUAAUUAAUUGUGAUUAUAUUGUUAAGUGGGAAUUAGUUAUUAAUUAAAAUUAAUUAAGUUAAUUAAUUAUAUCAUCUAGUGGGCCCCACCCGAUUUUUAAAUUAAAAAAAAUAAUAAUAAAAAAAAAACAGCAAAUGGUGAGUCACAAGGAGAUGGAAACGUGUCAACUUAAAGGGAACCAUAUAAAUGGUUGAUUAUUGAAUCAACAAAACAUUUCAUUCUAAGAAUUGAAAGUUGAAAAAAAGAAAGAAAGAAUAAAACUCCCAUGGCUGUUCGGCCAGCCAUGGUGAUUGAAAAACAAUGUGUGUUUUGUUGCUAUUUUGAUCAUGAUUCAAGUAAAUUGCAAGGUCAAGGGGGUGAUAGCAACGUUGGAUAUUGAAUCGGGGAAGAAGAAAUUGCGAAAUUGGAGCAAUUAAGGGCAGAAAUUCCUCCGAGAAAAUUAAGGCUAAAAGAGCGUCGAGACGAACGGGUUACGAAUAGCCACUAACAGGUACAGAUAGUCGGUUUGGUGACCCUUCAGCAUAGGACUUCUACUCAGCUGUUUUGGAGAGCUCCGUUGUUCCGGAGUCUAGACAUUUGGUUCAGAUCUUAUAAUGUAUAUGUAUAUGUUUAUCCAGGGGUACGGCGGGGCCCUGUCCCGUCAUAUUUCGUUAUCGAUACUCUUAAAGGUCUGUAGACAUAUGUGUAGGUUGUGUAUGGGUUCUGUUCAGCUGUGUCUAUACGAUGUGCUGUGGUCUGAUGUUCGUCUCUAGUAGCAGCCUUGUCGGCUUGCAUACGGUAUUGAUAUGUGAUGGCAGCCUUGUCGGCUUGCGUAUUAUUUCAUGAUAUGAUUAGUUGUGACUCCUCAGGAGACCGUUGAUCUGGAAGUA
Molecule: long non-coding RNA, 3133 nt
Organism: Lycium barbarum (goji berry)
Lineage: Eukaryota; Viridiplantae; Streptophyta; Magnoliopsida; Solanales; Solanaceae
Exons: 4
Source: RefSeq, a predicted model, not a curated record